GGGUAGGGGUGAGGGGUAGGCCAGCAAAUACGGCCCAGCUCUGGGUCCAAGCUCCCUCCCCAUCACUGUGACCUGCUAGACUAAGUUCAGGGGUAACCUUCUGCAGGAAAUCACCCCCAGAGCUCCUCCCCAAUCUGGGCUUCCCAGGUGGCUCAGCGUGAAGAAUCUGCCUACCAAUGCAGGAGACAGGUUCAGUCUCUGGGUGGGGAAGAUUGGCAACCCACUCCAGUAUUCUUGCCUGAAAAAUCCCAUAGACAGAGGAGCCUGGUGGGCCACAGUCCAUGGGGUCUCAAAGAGUCAGACAUGACUGAGCAGAGAUUGAGCCUGGGCUCCUUGUGCUGGGAGCCUAGAGUCUUAGCCACUGGACCACCAGGGAAGUCUUGCAUUGUUCUAUUUUUUAAAACACUCAUGGAGAUUCUCAUCCCAUCCCUACAAGGUCCUUGUGGGGUGAGGGCACAAGCUUCGUUUCACAGAUGACAAAACCGAGGUUCAGAGCAGUUAGGGGACUCCUGUAGGUUACACAGCCAGGAGAGGCAGGGCUGAGCUUCGAAUCCCAGGCACAGCACUCUGCCUAGAAUGCUCACCUCCCAAAUGGCCACGUGGCUGUCUUCCUCAUCUCCUUUGGUCUUUGCUCAAAUCACAUCCUCCGUGACAGGAGAAGGCUGGCAUUUGCUUCAGAGUGACAUGGAAGGCGGGAGAGAGUAGACGGAGGUGCAGAUGAAACAAGAUUGGCAGUUGUGGAAGCUGAAUGAAGGGCAGAGCAUUCAUCACCGUCUCUAUGGAUUUUGCUUAUUUAUUUAUUUUUUGGAUUCAUGUUGUUCUUGCGCACUAGCCUCAUGAAGCCAGAGGUCCUGGGGUCUGUUGGUGCAGGCUGGUGCCCUGGCAUGCAGAGCAGCCCUUGGCACUUAGAGGCGCUCAGUCCAUAUUAGGAAAAGCCCAGAUGACCUGGGUUUGCAGCUGAAGGCUCUUGACCAAGCCACACUGAAGCAGAGAAACGGCAGACUAUUGGUGUGGGUUUCUGGCCGGUGGGGUCCUUCAGCACCUGGAGCCACAGCCGGAGGGUCCUUCCCAGUGCCCCCCAGCCCGGGCUAAGCCCCUAAGUGUCCCAUUAUGCACCAUUCACUUCUCACUUUGUCGAGCCCGUCCGCAGCCGCUGCGUCCUUUUGUCAGAGGGGCCUGGGAGUGCAAGGGGCUAUUACCACGAGGCCUCAUUAUUCCCAGCCAGAGCAAUAAUGAGGAGUCCCUUCCCCAGGCUAGCACAAUCUGUAGGGUCCCUCCCAUUUAAUAACUAUAAUAACAGCCACCAUUUAUGAGCCCCUGCUUCAUGCCCCGCUGCGCACCAAGCACUUUACAUACAUUAUCUCAUUUAAUUCCUCCAACAGCUCUGGCAAUCAGCUACUAUUUGUAUCCCCAUUUUUCAGAUAAGAACGCCAAGACCGGUGCCCAGAGCCCCGUUAUCCUUAGCUCAGCCAUACAGGGGGAGGAAGGGCAGGGAUACAUCCAUGUCCCAGGUGGAACAUGGAGGCGCAGAGAGGGAAGGUGGCCUGGGAGAGAGCACACGGCAGAGUAUUGGGGACCACAGCUAGGACCGGGCAGCAAGAGUCCCUCGGGCACAGAGGAGGGCGAGCAGCAGUCCCCAGAGCGCUCCAGGCCAGAGCAGCCAGGCCUUCACUGUGUUCACAGGGGCAGCUGCUGGCUCCGGGACUUGGCCUGUGCAGAGCUAGUGAGACUCCAGGGGCUCUGCCCAUGAGGCCCAUCCGGCAGUGAGGAGCACUUUCGCUCUCUGGGCCAACACUGAAAUGCUCUUAGAGGGCCAGGGGGUGUGUAGGGCAGAGUGACCAGGCUCUGGGAGGAGGCAGGAACCUGGUGGGAGGAAGGGGAGGAUGAGAAAAGGAAC
This is a long non-coding RNA of Bos taurus (domestic cattle), 1897 nucleotides long. The record is from Ensembl. Lineage: Eukaryota; Metazoa; Chordata; Mammalia; Artiodactyla; Bovidae.